AUGGUGCCCGGGGCGAGGGCUCCGGCGGCGUCCGUGCUGCGUGGGCUCGUGGCGCUCGCCGGCGCGGCCGUCUUGUGGUUCUCCGGCGCCGCCGAGGCCCGCGUCCUACUCACGCUCGACGACUUCGGCGCCGUCGGCGACGGCAUUGCCAACGACACGCAGGCGUUCGUGGACGCGUGGACGGCGGCGUGCGGCUCGGAGGAGCAGGCCGUGCUCGCCGUGCCCGUCGCCAAGGCCUACCAGAUCUGGCCGGUGCAGCUCUCCGGCCCCUGCAAGAAGAAGCUCAAGCUGCUGAUCGCCGGGACGAUCGUGGCGCCGGCAAGCCCCGACGAGUGGGCGGGGAGGGACCCGAUGAAGUGGCUCUACAUCUACGGCGUGGACGGCCUGUCCGUGAGCGGCGGCGGCACCAUCGACGGCGUCGGGCAGGAGUGGUGGGCGCGCUCCUGCAAGCGCAAGAAGACCCAGCCCUGCAACACGCGGCCUCCUCCUAGGGCGUUGCAUUUCGAGGAGUGCAGGGGGGUGAGCGUGCAGGGGGUGACGCUGCAGAACGGGCCGCAGUUCCACCUGUCCUUCACGCGGUGCACGGACGUGAAGGCCAACUUCCUCCGGGUGGUGGCGCCGGCGGACAGCCCCAACACCGACGGCGUCCACCUCAACGACUCCUCCCGCGUCCAGAUCACGGACAACCUCAUCUCCACGGGGGACGACUGCGUGUCGAUGGUCGGCAACUGCUCGGACGUCCGCGUAAGAGACAUCUCGUGCGGGCCCGGCCACGGUAUCAGCAUCGGGAGCCUGGGCAAGAACCGGACCACGGACAGGGUCGAGAACGUGAGGGUGGACACCUGCUUGCUCACCAACACCACCAACGGCGUCCGGAUCAAGAGCUGGCAGGGGGGCAUGGGCUCCGCCCGCGACCUGAGGUUCGAGAGCAUCGUGAUGAAGAACGUGUCCAAUCCCAUCAUCAUCGACCAGUACUACUGCGACCAGCCUACGCCCUGCGCGAACCAGACGGAGGCCGUGGAGGUGCGCAAGGUGGAGUUCGUGGACGUGAGGGGCACGUCGGCGACGGCGCAGGCGAUCAAGAUCGCGUGCAGCGACACCUUGCCGUGCCGGGAGCUGGAGCUGAGGAACGUCAACCUCACCAUGGUGGGCGGGGGCGCGGCCACGGCCUCCUGCUACAGGGCGUCCGGCAAGGCCGUUGGAGCCGUCGCCCCGGCGUCCUGCCUCGCCAAGGGUGACCCGUGA
Molecule: ribosomal RNA, 1245 nt
Filed under: Triticum aestivum (bread wheat)
Lineage: Eukaryota; Viridiplantae; Streptophyta; Magnoliopsida; Poales; Poaceae
Description: partial small subunit ribosomal RNA
Source: RNAcentral